RNAcentral lists this transfer RNA (74 nucleotides) under Gammaproteobacteria bacterium. RNAcentral's name for it is "tRNA-Met". It matches the Rfam family "tRNA". From Rfam's summary of the family: Transfer RNA (tRNA) molecules are approximately 80 nucleotides in length. Their secondary structure includes four short double-helical elements and three loops (D, anti-codon, and T loops). The record is from RNAcentral. Lineage: Bacteria; Pseudomonadati; Pseudomonadota; Gammaproteobacteria.
GGGCCCAUAGCUCAAUCGGUUAGAGCAGCAAGCUCAUAACUUGUCGGUUCCAGGUUCAAGUCCCGGUGGGCCCA